AUUUGCGUCAUUGGCAAAGAUUAAUUGCAAACCUGGUCAGGGUAGAAAUACAGCAGCCAUAGUAAUUGACAUUUGGGUUUUGUUUGUAAUUUAG
This 94-nucleotide signal recognition particle RNA is filed under the name Holosporales bacterium. Its description in RNAcentral is "signal recognition particle sRNA small type". It matches the Rfam family "Bacterial small signal recognition particle RNA". From Rfam's summary of the family: The signal recognition particle (SRP) is a universally conserved ribonucleoprotein involved in the co-translational targeting of proteins to membranes. Archaeal SRP consists of a 7S RNA and homologues of the eukaryotic SRP19 and SRP54 proteins. The record is from RNAcentral. Lineage: Bacteria; Pseudomonadati; Pseudomonadota; Alphaproteobacteria; Holosporales.